AGAUUUCCGGUUGAUCCUGCCGGACCCGACUGCUAUCGGAUUGGGACUAAGCCAUGCGAGUCAACUCCGCAAGGGGUGGCGCACGGCUCAGUAACACGUAGUCAACCUACCCUAGGGACGGGGAUAACCUCGGGAAACUGAGGCUAAACCCCGAUAGGCUAUAGCCUCUGGAAUGAGCUAUAGCUGAAAUCUAUAUGGCCCUAGGAUGGGACUGCGGCCGAUCAGGUAGUUGGUGGGGUAAUGGCCCACCAAGCCUAUAACCGGUGCGGGCUCUGAGAGGAGGAGCCCGGAGAUGGGCACUGAGACAAGGGCCCAGGUCCUAUGGGGCGCAGCAGGCGCGAAACCUCCGCAAUGGGCGAAAGCCCGACGGGGUUAGUCCGAGUGGUCCCUGCUGAAGGGGCCUUUUGCCAGCUGUAAAAAGGCUGGCGAAUAAGGGGUGGGCAAGUUUGGUGUCAGCCGCCGCGGUAAUACCAGCACCCCGAGUGGUCGGGACGAUUAUUGGGCCUAAAGCAUCCGUAGCCGGCUUAGCAAGUCCUCCGUUAAAUCCAACGGCUUAACCGUUGGGCUGCGGAGGAUACUGCUAAGCUA
RNAcentral lists this ribosomal RNA (588 nucleotides) under uncultured archaeon. Its description in RNAcentral is "bacterial SSU rRNA". It matches the Rfam family "Archaeal small subunit ribosomal RNA", at positions 1 to 594 of the family's 1478-position model. The record is from RNAcentral.